RNAcentral lists this ribosomal RNA (358 nucleotides) under Vibrio harveyi. RNAcentral describes it as "bacterial SSU rRNA". It matches the Rfam family "Bacterial small subunit ribosomal RNA", at positions 98 to 459 of the family's 1533-position model. Lineage: Bacteria; Pseudomonadati; Pseudomonadota; Gammaproteobacteria; Vibrionales; Vibrionaceae. The record is from RNAcentral.
GCGGACGGGUGAGUAAUGCCUAGGAAAUUGCCCUGAUGUGGGGGAUAACCAUUGGAAACGAUGGCUAAUACCGCAUAAUACCUACGGGUCAAAGAGGGGGACCUUCGGGCCUCUCGCGUCAGGAUAUGCCUAGGUGGGAUUAGCUAGUUGGUGAGGUAAUGGCUCACCAAGGCGACGAUCCCUAGCUGGUCUGAGAGGAUGAUCAGCCACACUGGAACUGAGACACGGUCCAGACUCCUACGGGAGGCAGCAGUGGGGAAUAUUGCACAAUGGGCGCAAGCCUGAUGCAGCCAUGCCGCGUGUGUGAAGAAGGCCUUCGGGUUGUAAAGCACUUUCAGUCGUAACAAGGUAGCCGUAA